Molecule: long non-coding RNA, 1420 nt
Organism: Sciurus carolinensis (gray squirrel)
Lineage: Eukaryota; Metazoa; Chordata; Mammalia; Rodentia; Sciuridae
Exons: 2
Source: RefSeq, a predicted model, not a curated record
AUUACUGCUUGUCUUUAAGGUCCACCAGAAAGGAUUUUUUUAAAGUCACAUUAAAAAGUCCAUUUUCCCAGUCUUCAUUAAGAAUAAACUAGUCGUGUGAGAAUAAAGGCCGUAGUUGACUUUGCCCAGUUGUAGGUUUCAAAGCUAAUCAAUGCGUUGAAAAUAGAAAAGCGUGGAAAGAUGCUCUUCUUACCUCCGGUGAAAGCAGUUUCCCAGCUUUGUUAGUACUGUAACCAUCUUUCCCAGAGCAAGAGCAGCGAACGCCAGAGUCACAAGAAGUAGGGGAAAGGUAAUCGGAGCUCUGUCGCGACACACCUCCUCUCUGUGGCUCUCGCGCGCCCUUCACGGUUAACCACGAUCCCGAUCCUGUCAUUUCUGCUCAAUCAUCCAGCAGCUGCUUAUAAAGACCAGGCUGAAGCCUGGGCACGAGGAGCAGGAGCGGGUGGAGGAGGAGUACCGGCACGAGCGCCGAGCCUGCAGACGGACUUCAGCUGGAAGACUCCCAGGGACCCCGCUGCUGCGCGGCUGCAGCUGAAAACCCGAAAGCCGCACGUUAUUGAGCAGAGAUCAGCUUUCCAGGAACAAGCUGGAGCGGCGGCCCAAGCCCCGCUGCUUCCUCGAGGCUCUUGCUAGCAGAUGUGUGUGAACCAAAGCUGGCUGUGUGCUCAGAGAGCGACCCCUGCUACUACUGAGCAUGCUCGACUUUCCAGCUGUCUCACCAGGGCCUUUCAACUGUUGACUUCUCUAGAUGUGAAAAAGGGACAAUGGAGAAGUGGGCAGAGGGGAGAUUCAAUGGAGGUUGACAGAGAUGUUCUGGAAGCGAUCAAUAGCUUUUAGUCUUUAACUCUCUCCGUGCACAAUGAAGUUGCCUCUGGGGUCAAGUAUGUGUUGUACCCAGUGAAAGGAUUUAAUGCUAACAAAUCACUGUCAAUCAAAGAUUAGGUAUGGAAUUGCCUAAAUUUGGAGGUUUAGGCAAUGUGCCACAGAUUAAUUAUUCUCAAUCCGAGUGUAAUAUCCACCUAGGCCACUUUCUUAAAACGUAUUUUAUAAAAGUGUGCAAUUUUUGAAAUUUAAAUGUUAGCUAUGUUAUAAUACAUACGUUUUAAAAACUUAAAUCUUCCACACGGCAGCUCAAUUUAAGCUGAGACUAUCUGGCUAAUUUAUGAUUUCCAAAUCUUUUCUCUGGAUUUAGUAAAUGGCAAGUAAUCCGUUAAUGUUUGUGUGAGAAUGAAUUGUGGGUUUGCUAGGUAAUCUGUAAAUGGCACUUAACAGGAAAGCUGAGGUUCUUGAAUUUGAUAUGCAUCCAUAUUCAGACUCUUGACCUUCUCGGCUUUCUAUUUUGGGCUGCUCCAGUGCUUAAAAAUAGGAAUACACUGUUUUUGCUGUACAUGCAAUACAUAAGCAAAUUGAAUUUUCAAUA